UUACCAAAUUAUUUGUUGGCAAUGAUGUCAUCACUUCUUACGCCUUCAACCAUGGUAUAUGACAUUGUAAAGCGGGAUUUGAGACUAAAUUACUUGAGACAUUGGCGGUGGAUGGGCCACACCCUUCGCAAGCUUGCAUCCAAUACGACGAGGCAAUCUCUCACACGGAAUCCCUUAGGAAAAAGGAAGAGAGGACGGUCUAGGAACACAUGGCUCCGGGACCUGGAUGCAGAUGCUAAGCAGAGGGGCCAAACAUGGGGGUAGCUAUAGAUACUCGCCCAGAAACGAGACGUCUGGUGAAAGCUGGUUUGCGGCAUAUGUCCCAGAUGGGACCACAGGCAAAGAUGAGAUGAAACAACAUUUUCAUUCAUCCAAAAGUCGUACUUUCAACGAUUAGGUUACCACCAGUAGUUUUUCUUAUGAGAAGACAACUACUGCAACUGCUGAAAAACUCUGUCAUCAAAGGCUAUCACGUUUUCCAAAUCCAUUCUCCAAACAUUUCCUAUUACGCAGUUGACGAUUGAUGAGGUGUACACAAAUACAAAUGAUGACAAAGCUGGUCUCGUGUGGAUCCCACCAUUAGAAUCCUUUCCUAGAGAUCUUCAUAAUCAGUUUACCAAUGAAAAUAACACAACUUAUAUUGAGUGAUGUAGCUGGCAUACCAGCUAGCCAUGUCCGUAAAUGUAUAACUGACACUUUGUUGUUCUGAAAUUGAUAAUGAUGGCAAGAUAUUUGUAGAAGUUGCAGGAGAUCGAUUGGCCAUUUUCCCCUUGGCAAGCUACAUAUCAGGAAGGUAAUAUUAUUGUCUUGCCAUGUGAUUAUGUUUUCACAGAUAUCCUCAACAGUUAAACAUUGUCAGGGUACGUUUUAGUGUAUUUCCCAUACCCGGAGUACAUUUCAGUAUGCUGAAUAUCAAAACAUUACUUCAGGAAUGUUUACAUAGUAUCAUAUAUGCCGAACAUUAUUUGAACAAAUGUCGAACAUUUGUGUUUACGAAUUUAUUGAGCACUUUUAUAUGCCCAUGUUGAUCGAAAGAAGAAUGAACGAUAUAACAGAAACUUGUUAAAUUGUAAACAUAAGUUAAAAAAGUUUAUUACUGUUUAAGUUGAUAUAAAAUAUGUUCAAUGAAUCAACUCUUUUAGUUUUAGUUGGCCUUAUGCGUAUUGAAACUAUAACAUUUGAAGGAUCAUUUUAUCUUGAUAUUGUUUUUAAUAAAACACAUAUAAACACAAUAUAUAAAUGACGUAUGUCGUUUCAUAAAUUAUCCAUAGAAAUGGGAAGUCUCUAGAACAUUGUAAGGGAUCAACGAAACUGUGUUUUAUGUAAUCUAAAUGCUAUCGAGGAUGUAUACUACUCUGUUCUAAAUGCCCCUAUUAUGCAGAUGCUAUGUAGUAAUUAUUUCUAAAGUAUUAUAGAUGCAUUCCAAAAAGUUCAAGUGUAUUUGCCUACUUAAUAACUCUAAUAAAACAUUCUUUAGAAAUGUAGCCACUUAUAGUUUAAAAACCUUUGAAAUACGAAAAUAAUAAGUUGUAUAUGUAGUAUAAAAUAAUGAUAUUUUUCUACUUAAACAAAUAUGGUACAUAAUAAUGUAAUGAUUGUUGCAAUUAUACGUUGAUAUUGCUAGUAUAUAGAGUAUUCGCCCUCACUUUAAUAACAUUUGAUGCACGUCGUCAACGAUAUACUUGCGGCACAAAACUCCCGAUGUUAAAGUUCAAGGCAUUAUUUGGAUGCUGUUGUUAUUUUUUGCCUUUUUUACUAUUUUAAUUUGUUUCGACUAUUUAAAAUGCUACCUAUUCCUUAGGAAAUACAUGUGCAUAUUCUUUAAUUAGACUAUAUAAAAGAUGAUACGUAAAUUAUCUCUAUUGUCU
This is a long non-coding RNA of Dreissena polymorpha, 1868 nucleotides long. RefSeq lists it as uncharacterized. Lineage: Eukaryota; Metazoa; Mollusca; Bivalvia; Myida; Dreissenidae. The record is from RefSeq and is a predicted model, not a curated record. The transcript is spliced from 3 exons.